Molecule: long non-coding RNA, 1182 nt
Organism: Macaca fascicularis (crab-eating macaque)
Lineage: Eukaryota; Metazoa; Chordata; Mammalia; Primates; Cercopithecidae
Source: Ensembl
GAUGGUCAGGUGUAUUUUUUGAUUAAUAGGUGCAUUCAGUUUGGAAAAGACAGCUUUUCAUUAACGUCCCACGUAAAGGAAUAUGGCCUAUACGGUACGUACGCUGCUGCGUGGUCAUAUUUGUUCCUGUGAUCUUACUGUAUUUUCAAAGUUUGGAAAUAUACAUACCGUGUGCUUUGCAAUUGUUUUAUGCUUCCUGGAAUUUGGGGAUUCACGAGAGACUUGAGGUUAGAGUUCUGCAAGAGAGAAGACACUACAUGAUUGCAGCUGCUACAUCAAGAACCCAAGCCCCAGUCAAGGUUGUGAAUACGACUUUGGAUGAGAUUGAGAAGGCCCAGUGGACGGUUGGUCUUGAAGAGUGGCAGUGUAUGGACUUGAGGACCUCUGCAGACCAUCAGAUCAAAGGAGGAGAGCUGUUUUGCGUGGUUUUUUGUUGUUGUUGUUUUUAUAGCGUUUUGCUUUUUCCUGGAAUGUAAUUUUCCUAUGACAUGUUAACCGGUGCACAUCGUGUAACCUGUCUGGUGAGCAACCUACAAUUGGGAUGAGUUCUAGGUGAGGAAACUUCAGCCGAAAACAAAAGAGAAAACGAGCCUCAGAACCUUGCCUGGAAGAAUUCAACUGGUGCCAAAGCUCUGUCACAACAUCAGUAGCUCUUGGUGCGCCGUCUGCUUCCUCGACCCCCAGCAGGCACAUCGGUCAUGAUGGUUUUCGAACCAAUGGUUCAGAAUGCUGAGUACUCGAGAGAGGGCUAUAGCAACAAGCGUGGGACUGAGUUUCUGGCCUCACAGAAUGUUCCAUGACAGACCCUCUUUGACUGACAAGGUGUGAGGUGUCGCUCAGGCUGAGUGAGAUUCGGGGGCCUGAAUGCAGGCAUCCACCCUCUGCUCAGGUCCCAUGUUCCAGAUGUCUUCUGGACACCAACCAGUGGAUGUCAUAGGAUGGAUUCACCUCUUUGUUGAUGUAUUCAUCCAGUGUGUUUUGCUGGCGAUAUACUAGGUCCUUGGGACACCAAGGAGCAGUUGGCUCCUUGGUACUGGAGUCAUUGAUUCAUUUGUUCAAGUAUUCUUUGAAUAGGUACUGAAGACUUAGCAUGCGCCAGGCCUGGAGUAGACAUGACAGCCAUCCUCUUGCACAGCUGCUGCCUUCAGAGGGUUUGCACCCUAGUGGGUGAGAUGGCCACUU